This 301-nucleotide ribosomal RNA is filed under the name uncultured bacterium. RNAcentral's name for it is "partial 16S ribosomal RNA". It matches the Rfam family "Bacterial small subunit ribosomal RNA", at positions 509 to 807 of the family's 1533-position model. The record is from RNAcentral.
CAGCAGCCGCGGGAAUACGUAGGGUGCAAGCGUUAAUCGGAAUUACUGGGCGUAAAGCGUGCGCAGGCGGUUCGCUAAGACAGAUGUGAAAUCCCCGGGCUUAACUUGGGAACUGCAUUUGUGACUGGCGGGCUAGAGUAUGGCAGAGGGGGGUAGAAUUCCACGUGUAGCAGUGAAAUGCGUAGAGAUGUGGAGGAAUACCGAUGGCGAAGGCAGCCCCCUGGGCCAAUACUGACGCUCAUGCACGAAAGCGUGGGGAGCAAACAGGAUUAGAUACCCGAGUAGUCCCUGUCUCUUAUAC